GUGUCAGCCGCCGCGGUAAUACGUAAGGGGCAAGCGUUGUCCGGAUUCAUUGGGCGUAAAGAGCGCGUAGGCGGCUUAUCAAGUCAGGUGUGAAAACCGGGGGCUCAACCCGCGGACUGCACUUGAAACUGGUAGGCUUGAGUCUAGUAGAGGGAAAUGGAAUUCCUAGUGUAGCGGUGAAAUGCGCAGAUAUUAGGAAGAACACCGGUGGCGAAGGCGGUUUCCUGGGCUACGACUGACGCUGAGGCGCGAAAGCUAGGGGAGCGAACAGGAUUAGAUACCCUGGUAGUCCUAGCCGUAAACGAUGGGCACUAGGUGUAGGGGGUUAUCGACUCCCCCUGUGCCGUAGCUAACGCAUUAAGUGCCCCGCCUGGGGAGUACGGCCGCAAGGCUAAA
Molecule: ribosomal RNA, 396 nt
Filed under: uncultured bacterium
Lineage: Bacteria
Description: bacterial SSU rRNA
Rfam family: Bacterial small subunit ribosomal RNA
Source: RNAcentral